RNAcentral lists this unclassified non-coding RNA (200 nucleotides) under soil metagenome. RNAcentral's name for it is "partial contains internal transcribed spacer 2 and large subunit ribosomal RNA". The record is from RNAcentral.
AUGCUUGUUUGAGUAUCAGUAAACACCUCAAACCUCACCGUUUGAUGUUGGGCAGUGCCUGUAGGCAUGCCUAAAAAUCAGCGACGGUUUCAACCAACCUCAGACGUACAAUAUCGUUAUAGUGGGCGGUUGGGGCCUGUCCCCCAAUUAUAUAUCUAAAUGUUGACCUCGGAUCAGCUAGGAAUACCCGCUGAACUUAA